CUGGCAAUGUUUUUGUCAUUCUUGCAGCAUUCUGCCUGGAAAGAAGCUGCUGCGCCCAAACCAAUCAAGCAUGAAGAGUGUGGCGUUGCUGGUCUUCCUGGCGGGGGUUGUUGCUGCCCUCCCCCACUCGCACGGCGAGUGCAGCCUGAUGGGGGCACUGCGGAAGGGCAGGCACUUUCCACCGCGGGCGCUUGCCCUCCGUG
This is a long non-coding RNA of Penaeus monodon (black tiger shrimp), 203 nucleotides long. RefSeq lists it as uncharacterized. Lineage: Eukaryota; Metazoa; Arthropoda; Malacostraca; Decapoda; Penaeidae. The record is from RefSeq and is a predicted model, not a curated record. The transcript is spliced from 3 exons.